This 418-nucleotide ribosomal RNA is filed under the name uncultured bacterium. Its description in RNAcentral is "bacterial SSU rRNA". It matches the Rfam family "Bacterial small subunit ribosomal RNA", at positions 355 to 787 of the family's 1533-position model. The record is from RNAcentral.
UGGGGAAUAUUGGGCAAUGGGCGCAAGCCUGACCCAGCAACGCCGCGUGAAGGAAGAAGGCUUUCGGGUUGUAAACUUCUUUUAUCAGGGACGAAACAAAUGACGGUACCUGAUGAAUAAGCCACGGCUAACUACGUGCCAGCAGCCGCGGUAAUACGUAGGUGGCAAGCGUUAUCCGGAUUUACUGGGUGUAAAGGGCGUGUAGGCGGGCUUGCAAGUCAGAUGUGAAAACUAUGGGCUCAACCCAUAGCCUGCAUUUGAAACUGUAGGUCUUGAGUGCUGGAGAGGCAAUCGGAAUUCCGUGUGUAGCGGUGAAAUGCGUAGAUAUACGGAGGAACACCAGUGGCGAAGGCGGAUUGCUGGACAGUAACUGACGCUGAGGCGCGAAAGCGUGGGGAGCAAACAGGAUUAGAUACCC